UACGGAAGGCAGCAGGGGGAAUAUUGCACAAUGGGCGCAAGCCUGAUGCAGCCAUGCCGCAUGUAUGAAGAAGGCCUUCGGGUUGUAAAGUACUUUCAGUCGUGAGGAAGGUGUUAAGGUUAAUAACCUUAGCAAUUGACGUUAGCGACAGAAGAAGCACCGGCUAACUCCGUGCCAGCAGCCGCGGUAAUACGGAGGGUGCGAGCGUUAAUCGGAAUUACUGGGCGUAAAGGGCACGCAGGCGGUUAAUUAAGUUGGAUGUGAAAUCCCCGGGCUUAACCUGGGAAUGGCAUUCAAGACUGGUUAGCUAGAGUCUUGUAGAGGGGGUAGAAUUCCAUGUGUAGCGGUGAAAUGCGUAGAGAUGUGGAGGAAUACCGGGUGGCGAAGGCGGCCCCUGGGACAAAGACUGACGCUCAUGUGCGAAAGCGUGGGGAGCAAACGAGGAUUAGAUACC
This 454-nucleotide ribosomal RNA is filed under the name uncultured bacterium. RNAcentral describes it as "bacterial SSU rRNA". It matches the Rfam family "Bacterial small subunit ribosomal RNA", at positions 340 to 786 of the family's 1533-position model. The record is from RNAcentral.